This 181-nucleotide non-coding RNA is filed under the name Pseudomonas sp. Lineage: Bacteria; Pseudomonadati; Pseudomonadota; Gammaproteobacteria; Pseudomonadales; Pseudomonadaceae. The record is from RNAcentral.
AGGUGCCCACACGGCGCUGGCCAGUGCCCAUCCGGGCACUGAGGGAACACGGUCGCACCGUGGCUGCCCCCGCAACUGUAAGCAGCGAGUCCACGCACCCUGGCCACUGAGCAGCGCUCGGGAAGGCCGCGGAGGAUGACGACCUGCCAGCCAGGAGACCUGCCGGUGAAACCAGUCGCGU